CAGCAAAGAUGUCUAGCAGGGCCUUGGGUCCAGCAGUACCCACAUCACCUACAGCCUCUCAGUUGCCUUCUGUGGACCCGUGGACAUGUGGCCAGGAUGAACAGAGACACCUGCCUGGCAUUUCAUCUGGGAGCCAGGCGACUUCGCCAGGUGUCAUCCAACAGAGGGCUCCAUCUGCCGGGACUGUACUGUGGGGUCAGCUCCAGAUCUGUGACUGCUCUUGGCCGCUGACUGAAGAGGAGACGCUGUCGGAGGAGAGUAGCUUUUCCAUCUGGACACAAAACAAGGGCCCUUUGUAGGAUUUUCUUCAGUCUUCUAUUUUGCCAGACCUGUCACCUAACUGAGUUCAUUUCAUCUCUUUUUUUAUAUCAAGUUUGAAUUCAGGGAAUUUUUGUAUUAGGUACAAUUUAUCAAAACUGAAUUAAGAAAAAAAGUUUACAGUAUUAUUCUCAAAAUAACAUCAAUCUAUUUUUGUAAACCUCUUCAUGCUAUUAAAUUUUGCCCUGAAGGCCUCCUAAAAACAAAACAAAACAAA
This 535-nucleotide long non-coding RNA is filed under the name Rattus norvegicus (Norway rat). Its description in RNAcentral is "long non-coding RNA NONRATT012523". The record is from RNAcentral. Lineage: Eukaryota; Metazoa; Chordata; Mammalia; Rodentia; Muridae.